UGGGGAAUAUUGCGCAAUGGGCGAAAGCCUGACGCAGCGACGCCGCGUGAGGGAUGAAGGUUUUCGGAUCGUAAACCUCUGUCAGAAGGGAAGAAACCGCACUGUGCUAAUCAGCAGUGCCUUGACGGUACCUUCAAAGGAAGCACCGGCUAACUCCGUGCCAGCAGCCGCGGUAAUACGGAGGGUGCAAGCGUUAAUCGGAAUUACUGGGCGUAAAGCGCACGUAUGCUGCUUUGUAAGUCAGGGGUGAAAUCCCACGGCUCAACCGUGGAACUGCCUUUGAUACUGCUUAGCUUGAAUCCGGGAGAGGGUGGCGGAAUUCCAGGUGUAGAAGUGAAAUCCGUAGAUAUCUGGAGGAACAUCAGUGGCGAAGGCGGCCACCUGGACCGGUAUUGACGCUGAGGUGCGAAAGCGUGGGGAGCAAACAGG
Molecule: ribosomal RNA, 429 nt
Filed under: Fusobacteriota bacterium
Lineage: Bacteria; Fusobacteriati; Fusobacteriota
Description: Fusobacteria bacterium partial 16S ribosomal RNA
Rfam family: Bacterial small subunit ribosomal RNA
Source: RNAcentral